UACGUAGGGGGCGAGCGUUGUCCGGAUUCAUUGGGCGUAAAGCGCUUUAAGGCGGUUCGCUAAGUCGGGUGUGAAACCUCCAGGCUCAACCUGGAGACGCCACUCGAUACUGGCGUGACUAGAGUCCGGCAGGGGACCACGGAAUUCCUGGUGUAGCGGUGAAAUGCGCAGAUAUCAGGAGGAACACCGGUGGCGAAGGCGGGUCUCUGGGCCGAUAUUGACGCUGAGGAGCGAAAGCGUGGGGAGCGAACAGG
RNAcentral lists this ribosomal RNA (254 nucleotides) under uncultured bacterium. Its description in RNAcentral is "partial 16S ribosomal RNA". It matches the Rfam family "Bacterial small subunit ribosomal RNA", at positions 524 to 776 of the family's 1533-position model. The record is from RNAcentral.